GCACGAAUAGUACAACGGCUAGUAUCCCGGCCUUCCAAGCCGGUGAUCUGGGUUCGAAUCCCGGUUCGUGCA
RNAcentral lists this transfer RNA (72 nucleotides) under Nanobdellota archaeon. RNAcentral's name for it is "tRNA-Gly". It matches the Rfam family "tRNA". Rfam says of the family: Transfer RNA (tRNA) molecules are approximately 80 nucleotides in length. Their secondary structure includes four short double-helical elements and three loops (D, anti-codon, and T loops). Lineage: Archaea; Nanobdellati; Nanobdellota. The record is from RNAcentral. RNAcentral also lists the same sequence under 1 other name.